Molecule: ribosomal RNA, 460 nt
Filed under: uncultured bacterium
Lineage: Bacteria
Description: partial 16S ribosomal RNA
Rfam family: Bacterial small subunit ribosomal RNA
Source: RNAcentral
CCUACGGGAGGCAGCAGUGAGGAAUAUUGGUCAAUGGACGAGAGUCUGAACCAGCCAAGUAGCGUGAAGGAUGACUGCCCUAUGGGUUGUAAACUUCUUUUAUAUGGGAAUAAAAUGUUCCACGUGUGGGAUUUUGUAUGUACCAUAUGAAUAAGGAUCGGCUAACUCCGUGCCAGCAGCCGCGGUAAUACGGAGGAUCCGAGCGUUAUCCGGAUUUAUUGGGGUUAAAGGGAGCGUAGGUGGAUUGUUAAGUCAGUUGUGAAAGUUUGCGGCUCAACCGUAAAAUUGCAGUUGAAACUGGCAGUCUUGAGUAGAGGAGAGGUGGGCGGAAUGCGUGGUGUAGCGGUGAAAUGCUUAGAUAUCACGAAGAACUCCGAUUGCGAAGGCAGUUCACUGGACGGCAACUGACACUGAGGCUCGAAAGUGUGGGUAUCAAACAGGAUUAGAUACCCGUGUAGUC